UGUCUGAGUACAGACCGAUMUAAGGUGAAACCGCGAAUGGCUCAUUAAAUCAGUCAUAAUUCCUUGGGUAGUGAAAAACUUUCCUCGGAUAACUGUGGAAAAUCCAGAGCUAAUACGUGCAACUGAGCUCCGACCUCGGCGCGAGCCGUGGGAAGAGCGCAUUUAUUAGAAUCAAAACUGACCGGKGUACUCCUUCGGGAUAUGCCGUUUGUCAAAAUGUUUGAUGACUCCGGAUAACUAAGCCGAGCGCUACGGUCUUCGUACCGGCGCCGUAUCUUUCAAGUGUCUGCCUUAUCAGCUUUCGAUUGUAGGUUAAACGCCUACAAUGGCUGUAACGGGUAACGGGGAAUCAGGGUUCGAUUCCGGAGAGGGAGCCUGAGAAACGGCUACCACAUCUAAGGAAGGCAGCAGGCACGCAAAUUACCCACUCCUAGCCCAGGGAGGUAGUGACGAAWAAUAACGAUGCGAGACUCUUCCGAGGCCUCGCAAUCGGAAUGAGUCNAUUAUAAAUNNNUGGACGAGGAUCCAUUGGAGGGCAAGUCUGGUGCCAGCAGCCGCGGUAAUUCCAGCUCCAAUAGCGUAUAUUAAAGUUGCUGCGGUUAAAAAGCUCGUAGUUGGACCUACUAAACCAUUUCGUGGGCGAGUCGCUCUUUGCAUUAGCUUCUCGCGCGGUUCCUCGAUAGAAGACGGUGUUUCGGGCGAUCGGUGUGUGUCUUAUAGACUCGUACUGGGUUGKAUUACUACCGUAUCGUUCGUUGGCCGUGUAGAAAUUGUGCGAACGGCGGGAAGACGUUGUCAUUGGGUAUAGCUCGUCCGCGUUUGGUACAAUUAAAAUUUUGUCGGCUCGCUCGGAGUGCUCUUUACCGAGUGUUCCAGGGUGGCCGACACGUUCACUUUGAAAAAAUUAGAGUGCUUAAAGCGGGCCUAUCAAAGGGCCGGAAUGUCUGUGCAUGGAAUGAAGUAACAGGACCUCGAUUCUGUUAUUUUUGUCGGUUUUAAUGAACCGAGGUAAUGAUUAAAAGGGACAGACGGUGGCAUUAGUAUUGCGGCGCUAGAGGUGAAAUUCUUGGACCGUCKCAAGACUAACUACUGCGAAAGCAUUUGCCGAGAAUGUUUUCAUUAAUCAAGAACGAAAGUUAGAGGAUCGAAGGCGAUCAGAUACCGCCCUAGUUCUAACCCUAAACUAUGCUAACUAGCGAUCCGCCGGAGUCAUUCCCACGACCCGGCGGGAAGCCCCAGGGAAACCAAAGUCUUUGAGUUCCGGGGGAAGUAUGGUUGCAAAGCUGAAACUUAAAGGAAUUGACGGAAGGGCACCACCAGGAGUGGAGCCUGCGGCUUAAUUUGACUCAACACGGGAAACCUCACCAGGSCCGGACAUCAUAAGGAUUGACAGGUUGAGAGCUCUUUCUCGAUUUGAUGGGUGGUGGUGCAUGGCCGUUCUUAGUUGGUGGAGUGAUCUGUCUGGUUGAUUCCGAUAACGAACGAGACUCUACCUUACUAACUAGUCGGCGGAUCUUAAACCUGAGAUGGUUAAGAUAUUGUGCGUCGGAUGGUUUAGCGACGUGGUUCGUGUGUUCGYGAAGCAUUURCGWGSCUAGYGUUCCGCGGGUUGCGAAGCGRCCGUUCGCGCAUUAAUAAUAMUWMUACYGGGGGAGUCCGUCGCAAUAUAUCUUYUUAGAAGGAUCAGCGGCGUAUAGCCGUACGAGAAAGAGCAAUAACAGGUCUGUGAUGCCCUUAGAUGUUCUGGGCCGCACGCGCGCUACAAUGUAAUGRCCAKSGYGCUUUCCCCCUCCGAAAGGAGCGGGUAACCMGUUGAARACACUACCCGAUUGGGAUUGGGGAUUGCAAAUAUUUCCCAUAAACGAGGAAUUCCCAGUAAGCGCGAGUCACCAACUCGCGCUGAUUACGUCCCUGCCCUUUGUACACACCGCCCGUCGCUACUACCGAUUGAAUGAUUCAGUGAGGGCAUCGGACUGGCGCCUUCGGUUUUGAAACAUAGACCUUAGGCUGACGGAAAGAUGUCCGAACUCGAUCAUUUAGAG
RNAcentral lists this ribosomal RNA (2042 nucleotides) under Nannoniscoides sp. RNAcentral's name for it is "SSU rRNA". Lineage: Eukaryota; Metazoa; Arthropoda; Malacostraca; Isopoda; Nannoniscidae. The record is from RNAcentral.